Molecule: microRNA precursor, 53 nt
Filed under: Ciona intestinalis (vase tunicate)
Lineage: Eukaryota; Metazoa; Chordata; Ascidiacea; Phlebobranchia; Cionidae
Description: microRNA cin-mir-4143 precursor
Source: miRBase by way of RNAcentral
CAUGUUUUGUGUAAUUGUGUUAUUUAUAGAAAACAUGAAAACACCAAACAUGU